GACCAAGGAGUCUAACCCGUAUGCGAGUCGUAGGGUCUUGCGUAGGCCCCGUGGCGUAGCGAAAGCAAAGUCGAGACAUUGGUAAAUAAAUAUAUCUGCCUGUAGCAUCGGCGGCCCGGCGGUGUGGCCGGUUGGCACGGCCCGUUCGGGUCAAACCGAACGGUGAGUCGUGCCCGGCUCGUCGGAGUCCGAGCAUACGAGUUGGUACCCGAAAGAUGGUGAACUAUGCUCCGCCAGGGCGAAGUCGGAGGAAACUCCGGUGGAGGCCCGAAGCGGUUCUGACGUGCAAAUCGAUCGUCGGAGCGAGGUAUAGGGGCGAAAGACUAAUCGAACCAUCUAGUAGCUGGUUCCCUCCGAAGUUUCCCUCAGGAUAGCUGGCAUUCGUGUGAGACUCAGUCUCUCCUCGUAGAGAGAAUGAAUAGAGGCCCUGGGGCCCUAGACGACCUCAACCUAUUAUCAAACUGCUACGAGGUGCGUCCGUAGGAACUUGCUGACUUGAAGUUUACCUACGCUUGUGUCGGGAUGUAUGAGUGCCGUGUGGGCCACUUUUG
This 551-nucleotide ribosomal RNA is filed under the name Afrarchaea sp. 2 HMW-2014. Its description in RNAcentral is "eukaryotic LSU rRNA". It matches the Rfam family "Eukaryotic large subunit ribosomal RNA", at positions 664 to 1139 of the family's 3401-position model. The record is from RNAcentral. Lineage: Eukaryota; Metazoa; Arthropoda; Arachnida; Araneae; Archaeidae.